Non-coding RNA from Paramuricea clavata, 201 nucleotides. NCBI's taxonomy places the organism in Eukaryota, Metazoa, Cnidaria, Anthozoa, Malacalcyonacea, Plexauridae. The record is from the annotation of a GenBank genome assembly.
CCCUUGCAUAAACAAUGUGGGUUGUCGUGUCACGUUGUAGGUUACUAAUAACCCCCCCUCGUUCCUGUAUUUUCUUCUUUAAUAUUUGAACUUGGGUGCGAAUUUGCUUCUUGGGCAUAAAAUAAAAUUCAUAGCCAUCAAACACCUUUCAAUUUUCGGUUACUAGCUAAUAAAUGAAUUGAGUAAUUGACUGUAAUUUUG